UUUUCAUAAAAUGGGUUUCAUAGUUUUUGGCUUUCAAACCUCUGUUAUGUCUCUGUAAUUGAGAAAUUGUGCUAUUAUAUGGAUAUAUGUAAUAAUAAGAGUAGCAUAACAUGUUUUAUAUAUAUAUUGCAUGAUUCCAUAUCAUCAGUUUCAUAGUAUUACAUCGUAUAUGAUUUCUACAAAAUUACAGAGUUUGGGUUUUGGCCUUAAGGCCUUAUACGUGAUUUUA
This 229-nucleotide long non-coding RNA is filed under the name Panax ginseng (ginseng). RNAcentral's name for it is "long non-coding RNA (PGIN_LNC012896)". Lineage: Eukaryota; Viridiplantae; Streptophyta; Magnoliopsida; Apiales; Araliaceae. The record is from RNAcentral.